CAACCCCAGGUCAGGCAGGAUUACCCGUUGAAUUUAAGCAUAUCAAUAAGCGAAGAAAAAGAAUUACAAGGAUUCCCCAAGUAACGGCGAGUGAACUAGGAAGAGCCCAGG
RNAcentral lists this ribosomal RNA (111 nucleotides) under Buxus glomerata. Its description in RNAcentral is "partial 26S ribosomal RNA". It matches the Rfam family "Eukaryotic large subunit ribosomal RNA", at positions 1 to 113 of the family's 3401-position model. The record is from RNAcentral. Lineage: Eukaryota; Viridiplantae; Streptophyta; Magnoliopsida; Buxales; Buxaceae.